Jaculus jaculus (lesser Egyptian jerboa) is the source of this 84-nucleotide small nucleolar RNA. Lineage: Eukaryota; Metazoa; Chordata; Mammalia; Rodentia; Dipodidae. The record is from Ensembl.
CAUCAAUGAUGAAAAUAGCCAAAUCUGAGCAUCAGAAAGAAGGCUUGUCAGUCUUCUUGAUGCAUGAUCUCUAUUGUUCUGAGA